RNAcentral lists this small nuclear RNA (303 nucleotides) under Jaculus jaculus (lesser Egyptian jerboa). Its description in RNAcentral is "7SK RNA (ENSJJAG00000001732.1)". It matches the Rfam family "7SK RNA". Rfam says of the family: 7SK was discovered as an abundant small nuclear RNA in the mid-70s but a possible function has only recently been suggested. Two independent studies have found that 7SK RNA binds the CDK9/cyclin T complex (known as elongation factor P-TEFb). Lineage: Eukaryota; Metazoa; Chordata; Mammalia; Rodentia; Dipodidae. The record is from RNAcentral.
GGAUGUGAGGGCGAUCUGGCUGCGACAUCUGUCUCCUCACUGAUCGCCUGGGCUGAUUUUGCUGAUCUGGCUGGCUGGGCAGGUGACCCUUCCUCCUUCAGCACUCCAGGUGUGUCCCUGCUGAGGCUGUGCUCGCGGCUGAAGAGGACGAAGAGGACGGCCUGCCCUGAGUAGAGCAGGACCAGACCUCUGUCAAGGAUACGGAGUAGCUGCACGCCCGCUGGAGCCUCCAAGCAAGCUGUCACACGACCGUGUUCCUCAUGUGUUACUAUCGAUGUGACUGACAUGUUCAGUGUUAUAUUC